UUAACUCUUAUUGGCCUCAUAUUUCCUCACCAGCUGUUCACAAGGAGGACAAGGCGGGUUAGUGAAAGGAACAGGGGACGUAGAGAGCGAGGGGAGGGAGGGAGGGAGGGGGGGUGCGAUUAACUGAGGAAACUAUACAACGUAACAGCGUGUGAUCUUCAGCUGAUCGCUGGCCUGUUUCAAGAAGCAACCCGCUAACCACGGGCUAAGAGAAAGAGCAGGAUGUGACUACAUCAAGAGCGUGCGUGCCGCCCCGGAGGAGCGCCGGCAGCUCGGUGGCAGAUGGUCGACCUCCGUAUCAUUAGUUUGCAGAUAACACCCCGGCCAAUGGGCUGAUCCAGGACGGUGAUGACUCUGCAUGCAGACAUGAGGUGGAUGGCCUGGACCACUGGUGCACCCAAAAUCACCUGGAGCUAAAGUUCAGGAGAACCCCCCUCACUAUCCUCAACAAUCUGGUUGAGAGGUUGGUUCCUAGGAAAUGGGUCACUUCCACUUCCUAGGAACCAACCUCUCUCGGGACCUGAGACGGUCCUCACAGAUUGUCACCAUCUGUGAGAAGGCCCAGCAGAGACUGGACUUCCUGCAGCAAAUCAAUAAAUGCAUCAUUCUUCAGGAUCUACCGAAAA
Molecule: long non-coding RNA, 626 nt
Organism: Fundulus heteroclitus (mummichog)
Lineage: Eukaryota; Metazoa; Chordata; Actinopteri; Cyprinodontiformes; Fundulidae
Exons: 2
Source: RefSeq, a predicted model, not a curated record